Molecule: ribosomal RNA, 437 nt
Filed under: uncultured bacterium
Lineage: Bacteria
Description: partial 16S ribosomal RNA
Rfam family: Bacterial small subunit ribosomal RNA
Source: RNAcentral
UGGGGAAUUUUGGACAAUUGGGCGAAAGCCUGAUCCAGCAAUGCCGCGUGUGUGAAGAAGGCCUUCGGGUUGUAAAGCACUUUUGUCCGGAAAGAAAUCCUUGGCUCUAAUACAGUCAGGGGAUGACGGUACCGGAAGAAUAAGCACCGGCUAACUACGUGCCAGCAGCCGCGGUAAUACGUAGGGUGCAAGCGUUAAUCGGAAUUACUGGGCGUAAAGCGUGCGCAGGCGGUUUGCUAAGACCGAUGUGAAAUCCCCGGGCUCAACCUGGGAACUGCAUUGGUGACCGGCAGGCUAGAGUAUGGCAGAGGGGGGUUAGAAUUCCACGUGUAGCAGUGAAAUGCGUAGAGAUGUGGAGGAAUACCGAUGGCGAAGGGCAGCCCCAUGGGCCAAUACUGACGCUCAUGCACGAAAGCGUGGGGGAGCAAACAGGAUUA